RNAcentral lists this long non-coding RNA (201 nucleotides) under Olea europaea (common olive). RNAcentral describes it as "long non-coding RNA (OEUR_LNC002238)". Lineage: Eukaryota; Viridiplantae; Streptophyta; Magnoliopsida; Lamiales; Oleaceae. The record is from RNAcentral.
UUUGUGAUUAACUACUCUAAAAACUGCUUGAUCGUCCUAUAACUACCCACUUUCUUUGUAGUGGUCAUUUUGUCAUGAAACUGCCUUUUAACUGCUGCCAUUAUCUUUCAUCGUUCAACCGCUUUCGAUUGAAUUCCUUGAGUUGUGGAACGUGAUAGGGCUACUUUAACAACUGCCUUGAUAACUGCAUUUCUUGAUAAC